Long non-coding RNA from Passer domesticus (house sparrow), 1016 nucleotides. RefSeq lists it as uncharacterized. The record is from RefSeq and is a predicted model, not a curated record. The transcript has 3 exons. NCBI's taxonomy places the organism in Eukaryota, Metazoa, Chordata, Aves, Passeriformes, Passeridae.
AGGCUUAUGAAUGAAAAGAAAUGCAGCAUAAGUAAAUCAAUGCGGGCUGACUCCAGCCUAUGAAUAAAUUAUUAAUUUGUGCUCAUAGAAGAAUCCCCUUGAUAUAGCAAAUAUAGGAUUACAAGCUCUUCCACUGAGAGAGCAGCGUACGGAGCAGGAGGGAUUGGUCCAGGAAAUCAGCUCCUCCCGACCAUUCAGUGAAUGGAAAGCAAACCUGAACCAGAACAGCCACAAACCACCACAGGUGACACUACAGCCUGUCUGCAGCUGUGUCCUGGCCUGACCACUGCUGACUAUUCCUGAUGCUUAUCUACAAUGAGUUCUAAACAGAAGUAAUAAAUGCAGAAGCCUGAAGUUCUAAAAGCCUUGCUGAAGAUGUAAGACACCUCUUCUAGAAAUUAAUAUUUUAAAAAGAAUACAAGAAAGGAAAUAAGCCAGUUUAUCUUUAUUCUGUAUAUUAGAAGAUUCAGAUACUGCAAAAAUAGAAAAGCUGUAACUACUCUGCAUGACAUGGUAUUAAUACUUGCUUUGUACUACAUUCCUCUGCACUUCUAAAGAGUAAGAUUAUAAUCCUCAAAUGUGUUCUCCAUAGUGAUUUUUUUUUAUUUAACAGACUAAAUUAUCCAUUCUUAUUCUUGUUUGAAAUACUUAAUUUCAAAAAAUAUCCCUUAAAUAAAAGCAGUGGAAGAAUAAAGAGGGAAAAAGUGAAAGAAUAUAGAGUCAACUCAUACAGUAAACAAUUAUAAUACCAUGGUGAAAAUCCUCCCCACCUUUAACAAGUCUAUGAAACUUUUCUCUUACUUUUGUGUAAGCAUCAUGUUUCACAUACACUCACUCAUGGAAAAUAGAAGCAGGAGAAGUACAAAAGUUAUCUCAGCUUUGCAAAACUUGUGGCUGCCAGAUAAAAGACAAAAUCUGAAGGUUCUGAAUUUAUUAUUUCGAAGCAGCCCAGUGGUGGAAGCACUCAUUGAGUAGUGUUUGCCUGCUGUGAGAACACAGGCUUGCUUGUUCCGAGU